This 545-nucleotide ribosomal RNA is filed under the name uncultured bacterium. Its description in RNAcentral is "bacterial SSU rRNA". It matches the Rfam family "Bacterial small subunit ribosomal RNA", at positions 777 to 1320 of the family's 1533-position model. The record is from RNAcentral.
AAUAGAUACCCAGGUAGUCCACCCCGUAAACGUUGGGAACUAGUUGUGGGGUCCUUUCCACGGAUUCCGUGACGCAGCUAACGCGUUAAGUUCCCCGCCUGGGGAGUACGGCCGCAAGGCUAAAACUCAAAGGAAUUGACGGGGACCCGCACAAGCGGCGGAGCAUGCGGAUUAAUUCGAUGCAACGCGAAGAACCUUACCAAGGCUUGACAUACACCAGAACACCCUAGAAAUAGGGGACUCUUUGGACACUGGUGAACAGGUGGUGCAUGGUUGUCGUCAGCUCGUGUCGUGAGAUGUUGGGUUAAGUCCCGCAACGAGCGCAACCCUCGUUCUAUGUUGCCAGCACGUAAUGGUGGGAACUCAUGGGAUACUGCCGGGGUCAACUCGGAGGAAGGUGGGGAUGACGUCAAAUCAUCAUGCCCCUUAUGUCUUGGGCUUCACGCAUGCUACAAUGGCCGGUACAAAGGGCUGCAAUACCGUGAGGUGGAGCGAAUCCCAAAAAGCCGGUCCCAGUUCGGAUUGAGGUCUGCAACUCGACCUCA